RNAcentral lists this small RNA (125 nucleotides) under Marmota monax (woodchuck). Lineage: Eukaryota; Metazoa; Chordata; Mammalia; Rodentia; Sciuridae. The record is from RNAcentral.
GCCAGGCAUAGUGGCACAUGCCUGUAAUCCCAGCUGCUCAGGAGGCUGAGGCAGGAGGAUCACUAGUUCAAAGCUGGCCUCAGCAAAAGAGAGGCACUAAGCAACUCAGUGAGACCCUGUCUCUA